AAACAUAAAUAUAUUUAAAUGUUCCAUGAUAGAGUUAUCUACAUUGCGAGUGGAUUUUGGAUUUACAUUUAGUCAUUUUUUAGUCAUUUGGAUAGUAAAUAUUGUUUAAGUUUGCUGAGAUAUAUGUCGCAAGAAUUUUGCAACACAUAUAUAUCAUGUGAAUAGUAUGUUUAACUAAAAGCAAGUUAACUACCCUUGAGAAUUUGUUUUGUAAUGAAGGGAGCGGAAGUGCAUGAUACGUGAGUUUUAGCACGCUUACAUGGCGAUGCCAGACAGAGAGGGUCGUUGAACAGUUUUGGAGGGGGUGUGUGUACAGCCAGUCUAUCAAAAUAUUACUAUUAUGGCAAUAAUUUGCCAGAAGACCCUGAACAGUUAAUCUUGUGCGUCGUCCUACAAUCGGACACCUAACUGGUUCCCACCAUGAAACAACAUCAACUGUCCACUGUAAAGCGCCUUACCAAACCUAUUUUGUUUGGAACAUUAAUCGUGGGACUUGCUACUGCUUUCUUCAACAGACACCUAUUCUUUGAGGACAUCGCAGCGAUCCGGGCCCAGGAGCGAGCCCGUAAUGAAGCCAAACUGAUGGAGAUCUUGGAGAGAAGACACAGGCAGAUGGAGGAGCUAGCGGAUAAGAAAGGAGGCAUGUGAAAGAAUGGCUCUUCACCUAGGCACAACAAACAGUAGACUCCCUCCAGUUGAGGUGGCACUACAUUAACUUUCUUGUGACGUGAAAUCGACUGUUCAGUCGGAAAAAUAUUGAUUGUGAAAAAGGUGAUGGAGGGAUGUGAUCCACCUGUUGUGAGGGUUUUGAAAAUACGGUUCAGAUGCAGUUUGUAAGCUCUUUACCCAAACUGAGAUGUUUUCAAAUUACGUGCAUGGACUGAUAAUGGCCGGGUUUCCCAGAUUUGUUAAGAAGCUCUUAACGCUAAGAUCUUCUUAAGAACGUUCUAAUAGCGUUCUAAGGCGCCCUUAGAACGUUCUUAAGACGUUCUUAGCGUUAAGAGCUUCUUAACGAAUCUGGGAAACCUGGCCAAUACUUGUUAUAAUUCAAGUUCAACAAGUUUAAUUGUCUUAGAAAUUAGUGCAAAAAUCUGUAUAUUUGAUGCAACCUCCUAUUAUUAAGGUUUGGUUCACCUGUAAUAAAACUAAAUAAUUCCUGUAAGUUUGGUCUAUUUGAUAUUACCUUGAAAUAAAUGUAUAGAAUCAGAACAGGUAAAUUCAGAGCUGCGACUGAAUGUACAGCCACCUACCACCAGAGGGAGAUAUCUACCUUUGUUUAUAAAAAUGUUCAUAAUUUACCAAAUAAUAAACAUGCAAAUAUCAAAUUUAUCAACAGCUACCAAAAUAUAUUUGAGACUAGAUUGGCAUAGUUUUUUAUUUUCACGUUAAGACAGACAACGGGUUGUAAAUCAUCAUAUAAUACAUGUAUGAUGACAAAUGUAUGAUUAUAUCCUUUUUAUUUAAACACAUGCCAUUAAAGAAAUCGGAAAUAAAUUAAAACAUUUUACAUGAAGAGGACAAACAAGCAAUAUUGCACUUGAAUGAAACGUAAAUAUCCGCACAAGGUCAAGUGCUACACUUGCUUAUAAUGGUGUUGUGACAUUUUCAAGAAACAUCAUAAAAUACUAACAUUUAAAUGCCAGAGGAGAUUCAAAAUGGUGGUAGUUUCUGUUUAAACUCCAAAGGAAAACAAAUGGUCAGUACUACUUCAGUGGACAUCUGUAAAUAACGAUCAAUAUGACCAAUAUUGUGCACACUCAUAUGGUUCAAUAACAUAAGUAACAUCUCUUCCCUUUUUAAUGUAACCAACUGAUACUUUGUAACAAGUUAUAGACAAACAAACUAUUGUAUGCAGAAAUAAUAGAACAACACACUGUAACCCUCAUGGCUGUAAGAGUAAAGACAGAUGGUUUAAAAGGUUGACAUUGAAGGUUUAAACUUCCCUCAAUUAUUUAUGGCAAACAUGUGAGGAGCCAGUCCACAUGGCAAAAAAUCAUUUCAGGCUAUUUAACCCAUCGAGCACAUGUGCCAU
Hypomesus transpacificus is the source of this 2032-nucleotide long non-coding RNA. RefSeq lists it as uncharacterized. NCBI's taxonomy places the organism in Eukaryota, Metazoa, Chordata, Actinopteri, Osmeriformes, Osmeridae. The transcript is spliced from 2 exons. The record is from RefSeq and is a predicted model, not a curated record.